RNAcentral lists this ribosomal RNA (465 nucleotides) under uncultured bacterium. RNAcentral's name for it is "partial 16S ribosomal RNA". It matches the Rfam family "Bacterial small subunit ribosomal RNA", at positions 28 to 507 of the family's 1533-position model. The record is from RNAcentral.
GACGAACGCUGGCGGCGUGCUUAACACAUGCAAGUCGAACGGAAAGGCCCUGCUUGCAGGGUAUUCGAGUGGCGAACGGGUGAGUAACACGUGGGUGAUCUGCCCUGCACUUCGGGAUAAGCCUGGGAAACUGGGUCUAAUACCGGAUAGGAGCCAUCCUUAGUGUGAUGGUUGGAAAGUUUUUUCGGUGUAGGAUGAGCUUGCGGCCUAUCAGCUUGUUGGUGGGGUAAUGGCCUACCAAGGCGGCGACGGGUAGCCGGCCUGGGGGGGUGGACGGCCACAUUGGGACUGAGAUACGGCCCAGACUCCUACGGGAGGCAGCCGUGGGGAAUAUUGCACAAUGGGCGCAAGCCUGAUGCAGCGACGCCGCGUGGGGGAUGACGGCCUUCGGGUUGUAAAAUCCUUUCGCUAGGGACGAAGCUUUUUGUGACGGUACCUAGAUAAGAAGCACCGGCUAACUACGUG